GGUCAAGCUACUAAGGGCGUGUGUGUGGAUGCCUUGGCGCAAGUAGGCGAUGAAGGACGUGGUCAGCUGCGAUAAGCCUCGGGGAGCCGCUAACAGGCUGUGAUCCGGGGAUUUCCGAAUGGGGAAACCCAACCGGUGCGAACACCGGUUACGCGCAUCCCAAUACAUAAGGUGCGCGAGCGAACUCGGGGAAGUGAACCAUCUCAGUACCCGAAGGAAGAGAAAACAACCGUGAUUCCGAAAGUAGUGGCGAGCGAACUCGGAAGAGCCUAAACCGGGCGAUUCGAAAGGAGAGCCCGGGGUUGCAGGACCACAAUAAUCCGCGGGAUCCUCCAGCGAUGGAGGUUCCGGCAGGUUAAACGAGGGACAGGAAAGUGUUAAUCGAACGGUCUGGAAAGGCCGGCCAUAGAGCGUGACAGCCGCGUAGGUGAAAAUGCAAUCCUCCUUCCAGUGGCUCCUAAGUAGAGCGGGGCACGUGAAACCCUGCUUGAAUCUGCCGGGACCAUCCGGUAAGGCUAAAUACUCACUUGCGACCGAUAGUGAACCAGUACCGUGAGGGAAAGGUGAAAAGAACCCCUGCGAGGGGAGUGAAAUAGUACCUGAAACCACACGCUUACAAGCAGUGGGAGGGCUAUGGCUGUGGGCGCAAGCUCGCGGCAAUGCCUGACCUCGUGCCUAUUGCAUAAUGAGCUGGCUAGUUAUUCUCAGUGGCAAGGUUAAGCGCAAGCGAGCCGUAGCGAAAGCGAGUCUGAACAGGGCGAUGCAGUCGCUGGGAAUAGACGCGAAGCGGGAUGAUCUACCCUUGGCCAGGAUGAAGGCCGUGUAACAGCGGCUGGAGGUCCGAACCAGUGUUGGUUGAAAACAGCUUGGAUGAGCUGAGGGUAGGGGUGAAAGGCUAAUCAAAUUCCGUGAUAGCUCGUUCUCUCCGAAAUAGCUUUAGGGCUAGCCUCUCGUGGUCCGUCGCGGUGGUAGAGAACUGAUUGGACUAGGGGCCUUCCCAGGUUACCGAAUCCAACCAAACUGCGAAUGCCGUGAAUGUGUAGCGAGGGAGUCAGACAGUGGGGGCUAAGCUUCAUUGUCGAAAGGGAAACAGCCCAGACCGUCAACUAAGGUCCCCAAAUCCAUGCUCAGUGGGAAAGGAAGUCGGGACGCUCAGACAGCCAGGAGGUUGGCUUAGAAGCAGCCAUCCUUUAAAGAAAGCGUAACAGCUCACUGGUCGAGCGGCUCGGUGCCGACAAUAUAACGGGGCUUAAGCAUGGUACCGAAGUUACGGAUUCGUAGCAAUACGAAUGGUAGGAGAGCGUUCUCAACAGCGUCGAAGGUCUAUCGAAAGAAGGGCUGGAGCGUUGAGAAGUGACUCUGCCAGCAUAAGUAGCGAGAAACCAGGUGCGAACCCUGGUCGCCGUAAGUCUAAGGAUUCCUGAGAAAGGUUAAUCCGCUCAGGGUUAGUCGGAGCCUAACGCGAGGCCGAAAGGCGUAGCGGAUGGACAGCAGGUUAAUAUUCCUGCACUACCUUAAACCGAUCAAGACCGAAGGGGGGACGCAGACCGUAAGCCCUGGUGCGCAAUGGUUUCAAUCCAGGGUGAAGGGAGAUCCGGACAGGCAAAUCCGCCGGGUCGUCUGCCAGGAAAAGCCUCUAAGGAGGAAUAGGGUAUCCGUACCACAAACCGACACAGGUGGACGAGAAGAAUAUUCUAAGGCGCUCGGGUGAUGGUAUGUUCAGGAACUAGGCACAUUAGCUCCGUAACUUCGGGAGAAGGAGUGCCCACCUAAGACGUGGGCCGCAGUGAAUAGUCUCAGGCGACUGUUUAACAAAAACACAGGUCUCUGCAAAGUCGAAAACGACGUAUAGGGGCUGACGCCUGCCCGGUGCCGGAAGGUUAAAGGGAGAGGUCAGCCGCAAGGCGAAGCUUUGAACUGAAGCCCCGGUGAACGGCGGCCGUAACUAUAACGGUCCUAAGGUAGCGAAAUUCCUUGUCGGGUAAGUUCCGACCUGCACGAAUGGCGUAACGAUCUGAGAACUGUCUUAACAUGCCGCCCGGCGAACUUGUGGUCCCGGUGAAGACGCCGGGUGCCCGCCACUAGACGGAAAGACCCCGUGCACCUUUACUAUACCCUUUCAUGGAACUAUGGGGCGGUCUGCGCAGGAUAGGUGGGAGGCUUAGAAUCCGGGUUCUCGGACUCGGAGGAGCCAACGGUGAGAUACCACCCUGAUCGUUCUGUGGUUCUAACCUCCACCCGUAAUCCGGGUGAGGGACAGUGGAAGGCGGGUAGUUUGACUGGGGCGGUCGCCUCCUAAACGGUAACGGAGGCGCGCGAAGCUUGGCUCAGGCGGCUUGGAAAUCCGCCGACGAGUGCAAAGGCAUAAGCCAGGUUAACUGCGAGACCAACAAGUCGAGCAGAUGCGAAAGCAGGCCUUAGUGAUCCGGUGGUUCUGUAUGGAAGGGCCAUCGCUCAACGGAUAAAAGGUACGCCGGGGAUAACAGGCUGAUCGGAGUCAAGAGUUCACAUCGACGCUCCGGUUUGGCACCUCGAUGUCGGCUCAUCGCAUCCUGGGGGUGUAGAAGCUCCCAAGGGUUAGGCUGUUCGCCUAUUAAAGCGGUACGUGAGCUGGGUUC
Molecule: ribosomal RNA, 2618 nt
Filed under: Terriglobia bacterium
Lineage: Bacteria; Pseudomonadati; Acidobacteriota; Terriglobia
Description: partial 23S ribosomal RNA
Rfam family: Bacterial large subunit ribosomal RNA
Source: RNAcentral